RNAcentral lists this non-coding RNA (28 nucleotides) under Mus musculus (house mouse). Lineage: Eukaryota; Metazoa; Chordata; Mammalia; Rodentia; Muridae. The record is from RNAcentral.
UCCCCAUAAAUUUGUGGGUAUGUCAGCC